ACGCUCGACACCUACGGGAGGCCAGCAGUGGGGAAUAUUGCACAAUGGGGGAAACCCUGAUGCAGCGACGCCGCGUGGAGGAAGAAGGUCUUCGGAUUGUAAACUCCUGUUGUUGGGGAAAAAGAGGAUGGUACCCAACAAGGAAGUGACGGCUAACUACGUGCCAGCAGCCGUGGUAAUCUGAGCGGGCUGGCAAGGC
This 199-nucleotide ribosomal RNA is filed under the name uncultured bacterium. Its description in RNAcentral is "partial 16S ribosomal RNA". It matches the Rfam family "Bacterial small subunit ribosomal RNA", at positions 328 to 539 of the family's 1533-position model. The record is from RNAcentral.